RNAcentral lists this ribosomal RNA (502 nucleotides) under uncultured Prevotella sp. RNAcentral's name for it is "bacterial SSU rRNA". It matches the Rfam family "Bacterial small subunit ribosomal RNA", at positions 42 to 524 of the family's 1533-position model. The record is from RNAcentral. Lineage: Bacteria; Pseudomonadati; Bacteroidota; Bacteroidia; Bacteroidales; Prevotellaceae.
AUAGGCUUAACACAUGCAAAGUCGAGGGGAAAACGGGGCAAAAGAGUGCUUGCACCCUUUGGACGUCGAACCGGCGCACGGGUGAGUAAACGCGUAUCCAACCUGCCCUUUACUUGGGGAUAACCGUUGAAAGACGGACUAAUACCCAAUGAUAUUCAUUGAUGACAUCUGAUUUGAAUUAAAGAUUUAUCGGUAUAGGAUGGGGGAUGCGUCUGAUUAGCUUGUUGGUGAGGUAACGGCUCACCAAGGCAACGAUCAGUAGGGGUUCUGAGAGGAAGGUCCCCCACAUUGGAACUGAGACACGGUCCAAACUCCUACGGGAGGCAGCAGUGAGGAAUAUUGGUCAAUGGACGAGAGUCUGAACCAGCCAAGUAGCGUGCAGGAUGACGGCCCUAUGGGUUGUAAACUGCUUUUGUUUGGGAAUAAUCGACAUUACGUGUAAUGUUUUGCAUGUACCAUUCGAAUAAGGACCGGCUAAUUCCGUGCCAGCAGCCGCGGUAAU